AGCGAACGCUGGCGGCAGGCCUAACACAUGCAAGUCGAACGAACUGUUCGGAGUUAUUGGCGGAGGGGUGAGGAACACGUGGGGAGGUGCCUGUAGGUUCGGAAUAACUCAGGGAAACUUGUGCUAAUAACGAAUGUGCCCUUCGGGGGAAAGAUUUAUCGCCUUGAGAGCGGCCCGCGUCAGAUUAGCUGGUUGGUGAGGUAAAGGCUGACCAAGGCGACGAUCAGUAGCUGGUCUGAGAGGAUGAUCAGCAACAUUGGGACUGAGACACGGCCCAAACUCCUACGGGAGGCAGCAGUGGGGAAUCUUGCGCAAUGGGCGAAAGCCUGACGAAGCCAUGCCGCGUGAAUGAUGAAGGUCUUAGUAUUGUAAAAUUCUUUCAACGGGGACGAUAAUGACGGUACCCGGUGAAGAAGCCCCGGCUAACUACGUG
This 433-nucleotide ribosomal RNA is filed under the name uncultured bacterium. RNAcentral's name for it is "partial 16S ribosomal RNA". It matches the Rfam family "Bacterial small subunit ribosomal RNA", at positions 29 to 507 of the family's 1533-position model. The record is from RNAcentral.